GUCUGUGUGCAUUCAAAUGUCAUUUGGAGAAUGAACCAAUAAGAAGAGUCCUAUCAAUCCCACCAAUAGAAAGCAAAUCCUUAGGAAAGCUUUGAGAUCUCCUUCUGAGCUGCUGACUCAUUUCUCCCACCCAGCUUAACAUGUCCAGCAGCAGAUACCACAGAAUACAGUGGAUGAGAAUGGAAAUACAAUUAAUCCUAAGCACUGAAUAAAAUAAACAAAAGAGAAAAGCUUCCUUGGAGAAAUCAGGCACAAGGGAAAUGUCUGAAGAUCUACAAAGAUGACACCAGCUAACUAUCUCAGCAAUGGGGGAGAGGCUACCUUAAAUGCCCUCCCCUGAUUAUGAGAUUGAUGACUGACUUAUAUGCCUUCAUCCAGCAGCUUGUGGAAGUAGAAGCAGACACCCAUAACUAAUCACCAAUCUGAACUCGAACCCAGAUGCAGAGAAGAACCAGUGAAGAGCACAGAGGUCCAGACCAUGCUGGUGAAACACACAGAAACAGCUUACCUGAACAUCCGGGUACUCCUGCUCCACAGUUUGAUAGCUGGAAUACCACCAGCAUGGGACUGAUCCAGACCCAAGGAACAUGGGUUUCAGUGAGGAAACCUCAGAAAUCUAUGGUACCUCCUGUGGAAGCCCAGUAUUCAUCCCUAGCAUUGGUGUGGUCUUUGGGAUCCCAGUCCAUAUAGAGGAAUACUCCCUGAGCCAAGACACAUGGGGGUGAGCCUAGGCCCUACCCCAAAGGAAAUGAAAGACUUUGAUGACACCCUAUAGAAGGCCUCACUAUCCAGGGGGAGCAGAAAGAUAUGUGACAAAUAAGGUUUUAGUUGGGGGGCAGGUAGGGGAGGACGGGUGGGAGAAGAGAAAUGGAAUUGUCAUGUAAAACAAUCCUAUUUCUAAUUCAAAUAAAAAAGUUGGAAAAAAAGUGAAGUAGUUAAAUACAAGAGUAUACACCGCCCCCCCAAAAAAAAACAGUUAGGCUUUUUGAGUUCUGUUCCUAAAUGUAAGGUAUUGUUGAGGGCUAGAUAUAGUUCAAGAAUUUUGCAUAUUGUUUCUAUUGUUGAAAAUUCCUGAGUUAAAGUGUGCUUUCAUAUAAAUAAGAUACUUGAGAUUCAGAUAUUUUUGUGGAAUACUACCUGAUAUGAGAUAAGUUUUCUUUUUAGACUUGAAUAAUUGAUUCUCACACAGCUGGGUUGCCUGGAAAAACCAUAUAGUGCAGACAUAUUUGUGAUUUAUGAUAUGUUUUCUCUUUGUAUAUAAAUAAGCUUGUGAAGUCUAGCUAAGUAAAAAAAAAAUAAAACUUACUCUUACCAAACUUUUCUUAUGUUCAGGAACACUAAGAUAGUUGUAUGCCUGGGUUUGAAUAAUGAGUGCUCUGAGAAUUUAGUCAAGAUUUACAAAUUUCAAAAUGAACCUGUUGCUGACUGAGAUGUCUACUUGACUAUCCACCAUAUAAAAAUAAAAUAAAAAUAGCAUAAUGUACAUAAUUCAAAGACCACAUCACUAACCAGUCUAUAUAUCAUUGCAUCCUUAUUCCUCUUAUGAUAUGGUCCUAUGUGUUAUUAUAAUUUAAAUUUUAUUUUAUGAAUACUGGAUGUAAAUAUCAAGCCCUUUCAGGUGUCCUAGGAGUUAUGCAUAACUACAAUAAGAGGAGGAUGUAGGAAAUGCCUGUAUAUUCUGUAUCUGACUCAGUGAAAAGUUUGCAUUAAAACAAUGGAAAUAAAGUAUGCAUCUAAGAAAUAUAUAUAUAUAUAUAUAUAUAUAUAUAUAUGUCUCAAUGUGUGUGUGUGUGUGUGUGUG
RNAcentral lists this long non-coding RNA (1801 nucleotides) under Cricetulus griseus (Chinese hamster). Its description in RNAcentral is "lncRNA (ENSCGRG00015034971.1)". The record is from RNAcentral. Lineage: Eukaryota; Metazoa; Chordata; Mammalia; Rodentia; Cricetidae.